RNAcentral lists this ribosomal RNA (2289 nucleotides) under human metagenome. RNAcentral describes it as "bacterial LSU rRNA". It matches the Rfam family "Bacterial large subunit ribosomal RNA", at positions 509 to 2819 of the family's 2925-position model. The record is from RNAcentral.
GAAAGGUGAAAAGAACCCCGAACAGGGGAGUGAAAUAGAACCUGAAACCAUACGCUUACAACCUGUCGGAGCGGCUUCGUGCCGUGACGGCGUGCCUAUUGAAUAAUGAGCCUACGAGUUACUAAUCACUGGCGAGGUUAAGUGCACGGAUGCACGGAGCCGAAGCGAAAGCGAGUCUGAACAGGGCGUUUAGUCAGUGGUUGUAGACGCGAAACCUUGCGAUCUACCCUUGAGCAGGUUGAAGGUUGGGUAAAACCAACUGGAGGACCGAACGAAUAAGCGUUGAAAAGCUUCUCGAUGACUUGAGGGUAGGGGUGAAAGGCUAAUCAAGCUGGGAAAUAGCUCGUACUCCCCGAAAUGCCUUUUGGGGCAGCGUUGUAAUAAAGAGUCUACUGGAGGUAGAGCUACUGAUUGGAUGCGGGGGCUUCACCGCCUACCAAAUCCUGACAAACUCCGAAUGCCAGUAGUAUGAUUUACAGCAGUGAGUGACUGGGUGCUAAUGUCCAGUCGCAAAAGAGGAACAACUCAGACCAGCAACUAAGGUCCCGAAGAAUAUGCUAAGUUGAUCUAACGAUGUUUUGUUGCAGAGACAGCUAGGAUGUUAGCUUGGAAGCAGCUAUUCAUUCAAAGAGUGCGUAACAGCUCACUAGUCGAGCGACAGAGCGUGGAUAAUAAACGGGCAUCAAGCAUAUCACCGAAGUUCUGGGCGCGAGAGCGCGGUAGGGGAGCAUUCCAUUCAGCGUCGAAGCAGUUUCGUGAGGAAUUGUGGAGCGUAUGGAAAAGCAAAUGUAGGCAUGAGUAACGAUAAUGCGGGAGAGUAACCCGCACACCGCAAGACCAAGGUUUCCUGAUCAACGCUAAUCGGAUCAGGGUUAGUCGGGUCCUAAGGGUAAGCCGAACGGUGAUCUCGAUGGAUAAUCGGUUAAUAUUCCGAUACUGACAUAUACCUCGAUGGAGAGACGAAGGAACGUAAGUGCCGCCACCUGACGGAAUAGGUGGUUAAAGGGCGUAGAUAUAGGGGCAGAUUAAGAGUUAGUCCUUGCUGAAACCUGACAGUACAGAGAGCCUACGGGCAAUUUGAUAGUGCACCCAAGUCGACUUCCGAGAAAAUCUUCUAAGUUAUAGUAUAUGUCACCCGUACCGUAAACCGACACAGGUGGUCGAGGAGAGUAUCCUAAGGUGCUCGAGUGAAUCACGGUUAAGGAACUAGGCAAAUUAACCCCGUAACUUCGGGAAAAGGGGUCCCUCCGCGAGGAGGGCGCAGCGAAGAGGUCCAGGCGACUGUUUAUCAAAAACACAGGGCUCUGCAAAUUCGAAAGAAGACGUAUAGGGCCUGACACCUGCCCGGUGCUGGAAGGUUAAGAGGGGAUGUCAUCGCAAGAGAAGCAUUGAAUCGAAGCCCCAGUAAACGGCGGCCGUAACUAUAACGGUCCUAAGGUAGCGAAAUUCCUUGUCGGGUAAGUUCCGACCUGCACGAAUGGUGUAACGAUCUGGACACUGUCUCAACCGUGAGCUCGGUGAAAUUGUAGUCCCGGUGAUGAUGCCGGGUACCCGCAACGGGACGAAAAGACCCCGUGAACCUUUACUAUAGCUUAACGCUGAAUUUGGGUACACAAUGUGUAGGAUAGGCCGGAGGCUUUGAAGCGGGCACGCCAGUGUUCGUGGAGCCGACGUUGAAAUACGGCCCUUUGUGUAUUUGAGUUCUAACCCUGCGAAGGGGACACCGUUUGGUGGGUAGUUUGACUGGGGUGGUCGCCUCCAAAAGCGUAACGGAGGCUUCCCAAGGUACCCUCAGCACGAAUGGUAACCGUGCGCGGAGUGCAAUAGCAUAAGGGUGCUUGACUGUGAGACAUACAAGUCGACCAGGUACGAAAGUAGGGUAUAGUGAUCCGGUGGUUCUGCGUGGACUGGCCAUCGCUCAAAGGAUAAAAGGUACUCCGGGGAUAACAGGCUGAUCGCCGCCAAGAGCUCAUAUCGACGCGGCGGUUUGGCACCUCGAUGUCGGCUCGUCACAUCCUGGGGCUGGAGAAGGUCCCAAGGGUUCGGCUGUUCGCCGAUUAAAGUGGCACGCGAGCUGGGUUCAGAACGUCGUGAGACAGUUCGGUCUCUAUCUGUUGCGGGCGUAGGAAGAUUGAGGGGUCCUGACUUUAGUACGAGAGGACCGAGUUGGACGAACCUCCGGUGUAUCGGUUAUGCUGCCAAGUGUACUGCCGAGUAGCCGCGUUCGGUCUGGAUAAGCGCUGAAAGCAUCUAAGCGCGAAGCCAUCCCCAAGAUAAGUCUUCCCUUGA